CGGGGGGCUGCAGGCGCGAAAACUCCGCAAUGCGCGAAAGCGUGACGGGGGGACCCCAAGUGCCGUUGGUCUUUUGAUCGACGGCUUUUCGGGAGUCUAAGAAGCUCCCGGAAUAAGGGCUGGGUAAGGCUGGUGCCAGCCGCCGCGGUAACACCAGCAGCCCAAGUGGUGGCCGCGAUUAUUGGGCCUAAAGCGCUCGUAGCCGGGCUAGCAAGUCCCUUGUGAAAUCGGGCCGCCCAACGGUUCGGCGUGCAAGGGAUACUGUUGGUCUUGAGGCCGGGAGAGGUCGGAGGUACUCCUGGGGUAGCGGUGAAAUGCUCUAAUCCUGGGGGGACCACCAGUGGCGAAGGCGUCCGACCAGAACGGACCUGACGGUGAGGGGCGAAGGCUAGGGGAGCGAACGGGAUUAGAUACCCCAGUAGUC
RNAcentral lists this ribosomal RNA (424 nucleotides) under uncultured Thermoplasmata archaeon. RNAcentral's name for it is "bacterial SSU rRNA". It matches the Rfam family "Archaeal small subunit ribosomal RNA", at positions 326 to 746 of the family's 1478-position model. Lineage: Archaea; Methanobacteriati; Thermoplasmatota; Thermoplasmata. The record is from RNAcentral.